UAAUCUUUAAUGUUCAAUCUGUGUUAAAUUUCGUUUCAGAGUUCAGAGUCUGAGUCCGAAUCAUUGGAAUCCAAUUCAGAGUCUUCCGAGAGCCAUUCUUUGGAGAGUGCGAGCCAAUCACUGGAGGACAGGGUAAAGAUCCUCAGAUUUACAUCAUUUCACAGAGUGCAUAUCAAGACAAUAAAAUGAGAAAGAUGCAAUCAA
This 204-nucleotide long non-coding RNA is filed under the name Oncorhynchus kisutch (coho salmon). Its description in RNAcentral is "lncRNA (ENSOKIG00005018476.1)". Lineage: Eukaryota; Metazoa; Chordata; Actinopteri; Salmoniformes; Salmonidae. The record is from RNAcentral.